This 961-nucleotide ribosomal RNA is filed under the name Staphylococcus pseudintermedius. RNAcentral's name for it is "partial 23S ribosomal RNA". It matches the Rfam family "Bacterial large subunit ribosomal RNA", at positions 461 to 1429 of the family's 2925-position model. The record is from RNAcentral. Lineage: Bacteria; Bacillati; Bacillota; Bacilli; Caryophanales; Staphylococcaceae.
UAAGGCUAAAUACUCUCUAGUGACCGAUAGUGAACCAGUACCGUGAGGGAAAGGUGAAAAGUACCCCGGAAGGGGAGUGAAAGAGAACUUGAAACCGUGUGCUUACAAGUAGUCAGAGCCCGUUAAUGGGUGAUGGCGUGCCUUUUGUAGAAUGAACCGGCGAGUUACGAUCUGAUGCAAGGUUAAGCAGAAAAUGUGGAGCCGUAGCGAAAGCGAGUCUGAAUAGGGCGAAUGAGUAUUUGGUCGUAGACCCGAAACCAGGUGAUCUACCCUUGGUCAGGUUGAAGUUCAGGUAACACUGAAUGGAGGACCGAACCGACUUACGUUGAAAAGUGAGCGGAUGAACUGAGGGUAGCGGAGAAAUUCCAAUCGAACUUGGAGAUAGCUGGUUCUCUCCGAAAUAGCUUUAGGGCUAGCCUCAAGUGAUGAUUAUUGGAGGUAGAGCACUGUUUGGACGAGGGGCCCCUCUCGGGUUACCGAAUUCAGACAAACUCCGAAUGCCAAAUAAUUUAACUUGGGAGUCAGAAUGUGGGUGAUAAGGUCCAUAUUCGAAAGGGAAACAGCCCAGACCACCAGCUAAGGUCCCAAAAUAUAUGUUAAGUGGAAAAGGAUGUGGCGUUGCCCAGACAACUAGGAUGUUGGCUUAGAAGCAGCCAUCAUUUAAAGAGUGCGUAAUAGCUCACUAGUCGAGUGACACUGCGCCGAAAAUGUACCGGGGCUAAACAUAUUACCGAAGCUGUGGAUUGUCCUUUGGACAAUGGUAGGAGAGCGUUCUAAGGGCGUUGAAGCAUGAUCGCAAGGACAUGUGGAGCGCUUAGAAGUGAGAAUGCCGGUGUGAGUAGCGAAAGACGGGUGAGAAUCCCGUCCACCGAUUGACUAAGGUUUCCAGAGGAAGGCUCGUCCGCUCUGGGUUAGUCGGGUCCUAAGCUGAGGCCGACAGGCGUAGGCGAUGGAUAACAGG